Molecule: long non-coding RNA, 8035 nt
Filed under: Sus scrofa (pig)
Lineage: Eukaryota; Metazoa; Chordata; Mammalia; Artiodactyla; Suidae
Description: lncRNA (ENSSSCG00000054385.1)
Source: RNAcentral
AAAAAAAAAAAAAAAAAGCCUGACAUAGUCUCUAUGAUGAUUCGGGUUUGAUCCCUGGGUUAAGGAUCCCAUGUCGUUGCAAGCUGUGGUGUUGCUGUGGCUGUGAUGUAGGCCUCAGCUGCAGCUCUGAUCCAACCCUUAGCCUGGGAAUUUCCCUAUGCCACAUGUGUGGCCGUAAAAAGAAGAAAGAGAAAGAUUUGGAAGAAUUUACCUAGGAGUGAGCUGGUCUGGGGACUCCCCUUUAUCCCGUGGACCUUACCCUGCAGACACCCCUCUGCACAUGGGAUAGCACAGUCACCCAGAUUUCUCAAGCCGAGAACUCAUCAGCGCCCCCUCCAGGGAGCCUGGGUGCCUGGGAGGUGAGGCUGUGCCCCCUCACAGGAAGGGGUCCCCCCCCUGUGAGGAGGUAGGAUGGUCUCUAUGGGGUCCACAUUAACCUGUCCUCCUCACUGCUGCCACGUGUCCCCAGGAGGAACCCAGAGUCCCCGAGGCACAGGGUGUUGGCGAUUACCCUUCCCUGGGGCGGGGGAACAAGGGGUGGGAAGCGAAGCCUUGUCAUGUUCUAGGUAUGUGCCCCACAGCCCCUGCAGCUGGCUCCUCGGGGGGCUGGGCAGAUGGGGAGAAAAACAACAUUAGAUUGAAGCGAAAGGAGUAGGAGCCUCCUGGUUUGUCUCGUUGAGGUCCUGGGCUGUCUGAGAUCACCUAGACCUUGAUCGGGUCUGGCCGGGGCUCUCCAGCAUCCUGGGCUGUCCAGUCUGUGUUUGAAUACUUCACGGACAGCAAACUCACCACUUUACAAGGUGAUCCAUUCUGAAUCUGGAGGGCCCAAUUUGAAAAUUUACCUUAUGUCUUCUACGGUUUCUGCCCAUGGGUCUUAAAUUCUACCCCUUAGAGACACGAAGAGCAAUUGGAUAAGAGAGUAUAUGGUUUGCAUGUGGACCCUAUCUGAAAUGUGCACCCACUUGUGUAACAAGCAAGCAGGCACACACCUGGGUGAUACCAGAGUGAGCAGAGAUUGCUUCUUGAUUCUGGUGUUCCUUUGUGGGGUUUUGUUUUGCUUUGUUUUUUUCUUUUCUUCCCACAGCAUAUGGAAGGUCCCAGGCUAGGGAUCGAAUCAGAGCUGCAGCUGCCAGCCUACACCACAGCCACAGAAGCUUGGGAGCCGAGCAACACCUGUGACUUAUGCUGCAGCUUGAUCUUUAACCCACUGAGUGGGGCCAGGGAUCGAACCCGUGUCCUCACAGACACUACGUCAGGUUCUUAACCCACUGAGUGAGGCUGGGGCUCAAGCCUGCAUCCUCAUGGAUACUAGUUGGGUUCUUAACCCGCUGAACUGCAACGGGAACUCCUAUUUUGUGUCGUAUACCUCCCUUGGCCUGAGGUGCCCAGAGCUUCAAAUGUGUGCGUUCAUUUUCCAAAGAUAGUACUUUCCUUCCUGGCAGCAGUGGUUCAACCACAUUGGGUUGAAUCUGGUAGAUCCUAUUUAGCUGGUUUAUGCAAUUAUGGAGAUAUCCGUGGGAUAUUUUGUCGGAAGAUAGGAAAUUUGGUUAAUUGCCUUGGGGAAAUCUAUUCAGCUUAAAAAAUAAAGGGAACAGUUAACAUUUUCCCUUAGUAAUUUUUCCAGUGACAUGACAUCUGUAAACUCCUAACUACUUGACUGAAGGACAGUUUCGUUUACUUUUUUUUUUUUUUUUUUUUAUUUCACCUUCUUGCCAGGCCCAGGCCACAGGGGAGUGAAGUCUCCUCGGGUCUAGGAAAGAGUUAAUUUCUUUUUCCACAGCAUGGUAAUACACACCUAAGAACAUUCCAGAGUCUUGGGUAGAAAUUGUAAGAAAGUAUUAAAACUUGAGAAAUGAAUUAACAAGCCACCUUUUAUGCGACAGCCAUGCGCCUCUUCCUGGAAUGAAUAGCACUUUAUCCUCCACUGCGUAAGUCGUGGGCAGGAAGGUGGAGCCAGCUCUGCAUCACGGAGGGUGCCUGGGUGCGUGUGUCUGCGUGUGUGUGUGUGUCUGUGCGUGCACACUCAGAGCAGAAGGAAUCUGUGCAAAUACAUGAAGUUUGACGUAAACUCACAGAACCCUGAAAGAGAAGAAUUUAGAGUAAAACCCUAUCAUCUUCAGCUCACACUGUUGAGUCAGGCUGGGACCUGGGACCCCUCGCUGCCGAGGUGGCAGUGCUUGCACCUGGAAAAACAGCUCUUGGAACAACAAAGAAACUUAGAGUUUCUAUAGGCUAAAAAUAACUGCAGAGCAUAUGCAGUUAGAGCAAAUUAUGGGCAAGGAGAUACAAAAAAACCUAAAUACCCAACUGCUGCUUCUGAAGAGCUGGGAGCAAAAGCAGGGCACUCCGCAUGCCAAAGCACCACCAAAGGGGUUGGCAGGCCACCUGAGCCACCCCUCUGGUUCCACCCCUGGACUCAUCCCUCCUACCCUUGCCCCGUAUAAGGAACCAGCUCCCCCUGCCCCCACCAGGGAGAGAGCAAGCCAGGGAACCUCUUAUCUUUUGUCUCUCCCCUCUGCUGCAGCAGGGGCCCCCAGUAAAGUCUUACUUGAAGUUUUUUCCUGGCUUCUAAUCCAUUUCUAUUAAGGAGGCCCAGAACCCAGGCCGCUAACACCAUCACACCACUGAGUUUAAGCCUUUUCGAAACUUCAUUCUUACUAGAGUUCUGAUAAUUCUUGCCGCACACACAGAGACUGCUCCGUAUUCUAACCUUCAUCCUUGUUCACUUCUUUUUUUUUUUGCUUUUUGCUUUUUGGAGGUGCACACGCGGCAUAUGGAAGUUCCCAGGCUAGGGUCUGAAUCUGAACUACAGCAGCCACAGCCACGCCAGAUCGGAGCCACAUCUGCGACCUACACCACAGCUUGCACAACACCGGAUCCUUUAACUCACUGAGCAAGGCCAGGGAUGAACCCCAUUGUCACGGAUACUAGUCGGAAUCCUUUCCACUGAGCCACAAAGGGCAUUCCCACUACUUAUUUUUAGGGCUCACUAGUGGGUAUGUUAAUUGUUUUCCAAAUCAAAUAGCUGAAAUAUGACCGUAAAAAGUGAGACUACUUGUGCUGAAAUAAUGGAGAAAUGUGAUGCCUAUGUCCCAGUCACUGUGGUAUUUGACACAGACUCAUUCCUUUAAUCCUCACAACGUGUAACAGGUGGGCACUGCCGCUCUUGCCAUCCUGCAGACAAGGGAACUGAGGCCCUGAGGGCUCACCAGCUCACCCAGGCCUUGCCUCUGGUUGCUGGUGGGGGGUGGCUGGAGGCCUGGCACCUUGUCCUGAUGGCAGUUUGUCCUGAUGGUGGUUUGUCCUGGGUGUGCCUUUUUUUUUGGUGAUAUUAAGAAUUUUGAUUUGAUCGAAGAAUUUUUGAAAAUGGUGUUUGAGUCAUAACAUCAGUUUAGAAUCAAGUUUAGAAAAUUAAGAUAGGCUGAUUUUAAUCACCAGGACUCUGGGAAUAGUUCCUGUUAACAUGUAUUUAUUCAAGCAAAUCUCUUCUAAGAUUUUAUUUUAUUUAUUUUUUAUUUACGAUUUUUUUUUUUUUUUACUUUUAAAAAUCUUAUUGGAGUAUAGUUGACUUUCAACAUCUUUUUAGUUUCAGGUGUACGGCAAAGCGAUUCAGUUAUACAUGUAUGCAUAUCCGUUCUUUUUCAGAUUCUUUUCCCGUGUAAGUUACUGGAGACUAUUGAAUAGAGUUCCCUAUGCUAUACAGUGGGGCCUUGUGGUUAUCUCUUUUAUAUGUAGUAGAGUAAAUAUGUUAAUCCCCAACUUCUAAUUUAUCCCCCUCCCCAUAUAUCCCUUUUGGUAACUGUAAAUUUGGUUUCACAAUCUUUGAGUAUGUUUCUGUUUUAUGAAUGAGUUCAUUUGUAUCAUCUUAAGAUUCCAGAUACCCGUGGUAUCAUAUGGUGUUUGUCUUUCUCUGUCUGACUUACUUCACUCGUAUGAUCAUCUCUGGGUCCAUCCUUGUUGCUGCCUGGGGGUGGCUCUUGGUCACUCCUGACACAGCCUCUCAGAGCAUAGCUCACAGAAUCACUGUCCCCCUUGUAGUGACAUCUUGCAUCUAUUGUAUCAGAUUAAGGCCUAGAGGUUACAGCCGAGGGACUCCAGGAUGAUAUUAGUGGCAUAAGGAAAAGAAGGUUUUGUUUCCCUGUUAUGAGGUCUGAGGGGCAUCUUGGCGAGCAGGACAGUUUUGCUGCCUGGAGUCUUUCAAGGACCCAGAUUCCUGUCUCUUCCACAUCAUCGCUCUAUUAUUUUAGGGCACUGUUGUCACCUAUGUGGUGGGAGCUGGGGGGUGACCAUGCGCACACCCUGCCCCUUGAGAGGGGAGAGGAGGUGGAAGUUGCCUGUCCUCUGCUCAGAGGCCUGCUGGGCCCAGGCAUGCUGUGUGAUAUAUAUAUUUUUAACGGCUAUAGCUGUGGCAGAGGGAAGAUCCUGUGCUAGGGGUUGAAUCAGAGCUUCAGCCGCCAGCCUGCUCUACAGCCACAGCUCUGCAACCUACACCGCAGCUUGCAGCAAUGCAGGAUCCUUAACCCAGUAAGCAAGGCCAGGGAUUGAACCAGUGUCCUCAUGGAUACUAUGUCAGGUUCUUAACCCACUGAGCUAUAAAAGGAACUCCCCUCUGCUCAUUUUCCAUCGAAGAGAACUUAGUUAUACCUGCCCUGGUCACAGGGCCAUGCCUGUCUGCAAGGAAAGAUGGGAUGUGUAAUUGAGCCAUCGCUUAAGGAAAAAGGGGAGAGUGCAUUUUGAUGGGCAACCAGCAGUGUCCAUUGUGUGUUUAAAGAAGAACAUAAUUAUGUUUUUUUGUUUUUUUUGUUUUUUUUUGUUUUUUUAAUGGCUGCACUUGCAGCAAAUGGAAGUUUCCUUGGCUAGGGGUUGAAUCAGAACUGCAGCUGAGGCCUAUGUCACAGCCAUGGCAACACCAGAUCCAAGCCACAUAUGCACCUAUGCUGUAGCUUGUGGCAACACUGGAUCCUUAACUCACUGAAUGAGGCAAGGGAUUGAACCCACAUCCUCAUGGAAACCAUGUUGGGUCCUUAACCUGCUGAGCCACAAUGGGAACUCCCAAGAACCUAAUUAUUGUGAUAGAAAUAACAUAUUGUCACAGUAAGAAAUCUAGCCAGCAAAGAAGGUACUUAAUAGAAAAAAAAAAAUCGGUCCUAAUUCACUGAAGCAGGCUUUUUUUUUUUUUUUGCCUUUUUUUAGGGCUGCACUAGCGGCAUAUGGAAGUUUCUGGGCUAGGAGUUGAAUUGGAGUGACAGUUGCUGGCCUAUGCGUGCCAGAGCCACAGCAACAUGGGAUCUGAGCUGUGUCUGUGACCUACACCACAGCAAUGCUGGAUCCCUGACCCACUGAGCGAAGCCAGGGAUCAAACCCAAAUCCUCGUGGAUACUAGUUGGAUUCGUUUCUGCUGAGUCACAGUGGGAACUCCCCAGACUUUUAAUUUUUUUUAAUUUCUAUUUUCAUAUUUUGCUUUUUAGGGCUGCACCCAUGGCAUAUGGUGGUUCCCGGGCUAGGGGUCGAGUUGGAGCUACAGCUGUCAGCCUGCACCACAGUCACAGCAACGCCAGAUCUGAGCCAAGUGUAUGACCUACACCACACAGCUCACGGCAACGCUGGAUCCUUAACCCAUUGAGCUUGUCCAGGGAUCGAACCCGUGACCUCAUGGUUACUAGUUGGAUUCGUUUCUGCUGUGCCACAAUGGGAACUCCAGACUUUUUAUUUUAAACUCUCCAUCACCCACUCCUCCCGUUAAGCCCUCUGACCUCUUCUUGGGGGAUUUCAUCUUUCCCCAGAGGGUAGAGUCUGGAUGGAUUGUGAAGCAUGGGCCUUGUUGUCCCCUUGCUCUGGAGGUGGCUCUGUGACCUGGGUGCAUAGAUGGUAUUCCUUCCUAAGGGUUAGAGGAAAGGGAUGAAAAUUAUAAAUGCUGGAGCUCAUGGAUGCUGGUGGUGGCACCUGAGUGGCAUUCCUGGGUGAGGACUCUCCUGAAGUUGCCUUAGUUCUCACUUAUUUAAUAGCUUGGCUUCUGAGCUUUCGGUCCCCUGAGCGCUCAGGAUUGUAAUAAAAUCCCCUGCGUUCCAUUUAGUCUGAAUUGGUCCCUGGUGUUUGCAGCUAAAGAUCGCUAACCAAUACAGCGCUAUCUAGAGGAAAUCUCUGCCAACCUUCAGUGUAUUUUCUUUCUGCUGCCUCUUCAUCUGUUUUUACAUACCCAAUAUUUGCAUUGUUCAAACAACUUUAUACCUAUUCUAAAAAUAAGUAUUUUUUCCAGUUCAUAAAAGUAGCUGUUAAUAUUAGAUUGCAGGGAUGUUUCAUAUUUAUGAAGGUAAUUAAUGGUUUUUUGAUUCUGAAAUAAAUAUCUUUUUAUUAGGCAUCAUUUUAGGAAUAUAGGGGUACUUCAUGAAUUAAAAAUCCUGAACAUAGUUGCAUUAACAUUUAUUUUUCACUUUUCUUAAAGCUUUACACUAUUUACAAUAUCUUUUAAAAUCCAAAUAUGGGAAUUCCCAUUGUGGCUCAGCAGGUUAAGAACAGAACGUAGUCUCUGUGAAGAUGUGGGUUUGAUCCCUGGCCCCGCUCAGUGGGUUAAGGAUCCAGCAUAGACUCAAGCUGCGGCAUGGGUCACAGAUGUGGCUUGGAUAUCGUGUUGCUGUGGCUGUGGUAUAGGCCAGCAGCUGCAGCUCUGAUUUGACCCCUGGCCUGGGAACUCCCAUAUACCGCAGGUGUGGCCCUAAAACAAAAAAUUCCAAACAUGCAUGUCCAAGUAUCGGCUUCCUAACAUAGAGACAAUUCAGGCAGAAUUGCCAAUGUCUUGUUAAUAAGCUUGAGGCUCCUUGACUUUUCCUGGAUCACAUGGCUGCAGUGUCUUUGCUGAAGUUCAGGUCUCCUGGUGUGUUGCCAUGGGCUCAUACUUACUGAAUUGCCUUUCAGAGCCACUCUGGAUGUUCCCCAGUGUCUUGGGCAGCCAGUGGGCAAUGAUGCUGAUAGCUGUGUGUUCCAAAACUCACCCAGCUCUAUUCUGGACAGUGGGCUAUACUGGCGAGAUGCUUGCUGAAGGUCAGUGCCUUCAGAUUCUCUACCCAUCUGAAAAUGGGCCAUUACCCACACUGUCGGAGGAAGACUGUGCUUAUUCCUGAUCCGAGGUAGCUUAUUGCGUCAGGAGGAAAUCAAGGUCACGUUAGACAGCAGAGGUCAUGGGUCAGUGAAGGCACAGGCCAAGGUUGACAUGAGGGUGGAGGUCAUGGCUGAGGCACUGAGAUGAAGCAGGGGGUGCGGGGGGCUCUCUCCGUCCCAUCUGACACCUCUGCCACCCUUUGCCCCCUCAGCAAUGAAAGGCCAUGACAUGUAGGCAUGACACACAGAAUGUCAUGUGUCUGAGCAGAAGGGACUUAAACGUGUGCCCUGCAGCUCCAUUGUCCCUUAUCACUUGUCAUUCAUGAGCUGAGAGUAUUGUGGUAGCCAAAGAGUGGCCCCCAGAGACGGCCACAUCUUUAUCCCCAGAAUCUGCGGGUGUAGUAUCUUAUGGGGCUAAGGGGCCUUGCAGCCGUGAUUGGGAUUAGGGGCCUGGAGAUGGCAAGAUUAUUCCAGGUUAUCUGGGAGGGCCCAGUGUAAUGAGAAGUCUUAAAAGAGAAAAAACUACCCAAUAUUCUGUGAUAAUCUAUGUGGGAAAAGAAUCUGAAAAAGAAUGGACGUGUGUACAUGUAUAACUGAGUCACUUUGUUGUACAGAAGAAAUGAUCCCAACCUUGUAAACCAAACAGAUGUCAAUAAAACAUUAGAAAAUGAAAAAAAAGAGAGAGAGAGAGAGAGAAAAGACAUGUGAUGAAGGAAACAGAGACCCAGAUUGACCUGAUGUGAGCAAAAUGCAACCAGCCAUUGCUGGCCUCGAAGGUGGAGGAAGGAGCCCAGCCAGAGUGAAGUGGCUUCUGGAAACUGGGAUAGUCAAGACAUGAUUCUUUUUUUUUUUUCUUUUCAUUUUUUCAUUUUUGAUUUUAAGGGAGAAUUGCAAUGAUUUUUAUUAUUUAUUUAUUUAUUUUGCUUUUAAGGGCCGCACC